CCCGACUCCGUGAAGCUGGAUUCGCUAGUAAUCGCGCAUCAGCCAUGGCGCGGUGAAUACGUUCCCGGGCCUUGUACACACCGCCCGUCAAGCCAUGGGAGCCGGGGGUACCUGAAGUCCGUAACCGCGAGGAUCGGCCUAGGGUAAAACUGGUGACUGGGGCUAAGUCGUAACAAGGUACC
RNAcentral lists this ribosomal RNA (182 nucleotides) under uncultured bacterium. RNAcentral's name for it is "partial 16S ribosomal RNA". It matches the Rfam family "Bacterial small subunit ribosomal RNA", at positions 1311 to 1500 of the family's 1533-position model. The record is from RNAcentral.